Rubrivivax gelatinosus IL144 is the source of this 74-nucleotide transfer RNA. It matches the Rfam family "tRNA". From Rfam's summary of the family: Transfer RNA (tRNA) molecules are approximately 80 nucleotides in length. Their secondary structure includes four short double-helical elements and three loops (D, anti-codon, and T loops). NCBI's taxonomy places the organism in Bacteria, Pseudomonadati, Pseudomonadota, Betaproteobacteria, Burkholderiales, Sphaerotilaceae. The record is from Rfam.
CGCGGGGUGGAGCAGUCUGGUAGCUCGUUGGGCUCAUAACCCAAAGGUCGCAAGUUCAAAUCUUGCCCCCGCAA